ACUCAAAUGAAUAGACGGGGACCCGCACAAGCGGUGGAUGAUGUGGUUUAAUUCGAUGCAACGCGAAAAACCUUACCCACCUUUGACAUGUACGGAAUUUGCCAGAGAUGGCUUAGUGCUCGAAAGAGAGCCGUAACACAGGUGCUGCAUGGCUGUCGUCAGCUCGUGUCGUGAGAUGUUGGGUUAAGUCCCGCAACGAGCGCAACCCUUGUCAUUAGUUGCUACGAAAGGGCACUCUAAUGAGACUGCCGGUGACAAACCGGAGGAAGGUGGGGAUGACGUCAAGUCCUCAUGGCCCUUAUAGGUGGGGCUACACACGUCAUACAAUGGCCGGUACAAAGGGUCGCAAACCCGCGAGGGGGAGCUAAUCCAUCAAAGCCGGUCGUAGUCCGGAUCGCAGUCUGCAACUCGACUGCGUGAAGUCGGAAUCGCUAGUAAUCGUGGAUCAGCAUGUCACGGUGAAUACGUUCCCGGGUCUUGUACACACCGCCCGU
Molecule: ribosomal RNA, 494 nt
Filed under: uncultured bacterium
Lineage: Bacteria
Description: partial 16S ribosomal RNA
Rfam family: Bacterial small subunit ribosomal RNA
Source: RNAcentral